RNAcentral lists this ribosomal RNA (466 nucleotides) under uncultured bacterium. RNAcentral's name for it is "SSU rRNA". It matches the Rfam family "Bacterial small subunit ribosomal RNA", at positions 26 to 518 of the family's 1533-position model. The record is from RNAcentral.
AGGAUAAACGCUGGCGGCGUGCCUAACACAUGCAAGUCGAACGUCUCUUUCUUCGGGAAGAGGAGUGGCGGACGGGUGAGGAACACGUGGGAACCUGCCCUACAGUGAGGAAUACCGGCGAGAAAUCGCCGACAAGACCGCAUAGCCCUCUCUGGUGAGAGCCAGAGAAGGAAAGCUUCGCAAGAGGCGCUGGAGGAGGGGCCUGCGUCCGAUUAGCUAGUUGGUGGGGUAAGAGCCUACCAAGGCGUCGAUCGGUAGCUGGUCUGAGAGGACGAUCAGCCACACUGGGAUUGAGAACGGCCCAGACUCCUACGGGGGGCAGCAGUGAGGAAUUUUCGGCAAUGGGGGAAACCCUGACCGAGCAACGCCGCGUGCAGGAAGACGGCUCGGUGUAACUGCUUUCUUUGGACGUAGCAAGGACGGUACCAGAGGAAUCAGCCCCGGCUCACUACGUGCCAGCAGCCGC